RNAcentral lists this ribosomal RNA (206 nucleotides) under uncultured bacterium. Its description in RNAcentral is "partial 16S ribosomal RNA". It matches the Rfam family "Bacterial small subunit ribosomal RNA", at positions 570 to 774 of the family's 1533-position model. The record is from RNAcentral.
CGUAGGCGGUCAGCACAAGUCAGUUGUGAAAUCUCCGGGCUUAACUCGGAAAGGUCAACUGAUACUGUGCGACUAGAGUGCAGAAGGGGCAACUGGAAUUCUCGGUGUAGCGGUGAAAUGCGUAGAUAUCGAGAGGAACACCUGCGGCGAAGGCGGGUUGCUGGGCUGACACUGACGCUGAGGCGCGAAAGCCAGGGGAGCGAACG